Molecule: ribosomal RNA, 326 nt
Filed under: uncultured bacterium
Lineage: Bacteria
Description: bacterial SSU rRNA
Rfam family: Bacterial small subunit ribosomal RNA
Source: RNAcentral
AAUCAACGCUGGCGGCGUGCCUCAGACAUGCAAGUCGAACGUGAAAGUUCCUUCGGGAAUGAGUAAAGUGGCGCACGGGUGAGUAACACGUGGGUAAUUUGCCUUCGGGUGGGGAAUACCAACCGGAAACGGUUGUUAAUACCGCAUGAUGCAGCGGCUCGACAUCGAGACAGUUGUUAAAGCGGGGGAGGCGGAGCAAUCCGUCCUCGCGCCUGAAGAGAAGCCCGCCGGCGGAUUAGGAGUUGGUGAGGUAAUGGCUCACCAAGCCGCCGAUCCGUAACCGACCUGAGAGGGUGGUCGGUCACACUGACACUGACAUACGGGUC